AGAGUUUGAUCCUGGCUCAGGAUGAACGCUGGCGGCGUGCUUAACACAUGCAAGUCGAGCGAAGCAGUUAAGAAGAUUCUUCGGAUGAUUCUUAACUGACUGAGCGGCGGACGGGUGAGUAACGCGUGGGUGACCUGCCCCAUACCGGGGGAUAACAGCUGGAAACGGCUGCUAAUACCGCAUAAGCGCACAGAGCUGCAUGGCUCGGUGUGAAAAACUCCGGUGGUAUGGGAUGGGCCCGCGUCUGAUUAGGCAGUUGGCGGGGUAACGGCCCACCAAACCGACGAUCAGUAGCCGGCCUGAGAGGGCGACCGGCCACAUUGAGACUGAGACACGGCCCAGACUCCUACGGGAGGCAGCAGUGGGGGAUAUUGCGCAAUGGGGGAAACCCUGACGCAGCAACGCCGCGUGAAGGAUGAAGGUUUUCGGAUUGUAAACUUCUUUUAUUUAGGACGAAGAAUGACGGUACUAAAUGAAUAAGCUCCGGCUAACUACGUGCCAGCAGCCGCGGUAAUACGUAGGGAGCAAGCGUUAUCCGGAUUUACUGGGUGUAAAGGGUGCGUAGGCGGCUUGGUAAGUCAGAUGUGAAAUGUAUGGGCUCAACCCAUGCACUGCAUUUGAAACUAUUGAGCUUGAGUGAAGUAGAGGUAGGCGGAAUUCCCUGUGUAGCGGUGAAAUGCGUAGAGAUAGGGAGGAACACCAGUGGCGAAGGCGGCCUACUGGGCUUUAACUGACGCUGAGGCACGAAAGCGUGGGUAGCAAACAGGAUUAGAUACCCUGGUAGUCCACGCUGUAAACGAUGAUUACUAGGUGUGGGGGGUCUGACCCCUUCCGUGCCGGAGUUAACACAAUAAGUAAUCCACCUGGGGAGUACGACCGCAAGGUUGAAACUCAAAGGAAUUGACGGGGGCCCGCACAAGCAGUGGAGUAUGUGGUUUAAUUCGAAGCAACGCGAAGAACCUUACCAGGUCUUGACAUCGAGUGACGAAUCUAGAGAUAGAUUUUUCCUUCGGGACACAAAGACAGGUGGUGCAUGGUUGUCGUCAGCUCGUGUCGUGAGAUGUUGGGUUAAGUCCCGCAACGAGCGCAACCCUUGCUAUUAGUUGCUACGCAAGAGCACUCUAGUAGGACUGCCGUUGACAAAACGGAGGAAGGUGGGGACGACGUCAAAUCAUCAUGCCCCUUAUGACCUGGGCUACACACGUACUACAAUGGAUGUAAACAGAGGGAAGCAAAAUAGCGAUAUGGAGCAAACCCCAAAAAGCAUUCUCAGUUCAGAUUGCAGGCUGCAACUCGCCUGUAUGAAGUUGGAAUUGCUAGUAAUCGCGGAUCAGCAUGCCGCGGUGAAUACGUUCCCGGGCCUUGCACACACCGCCCGUCA
RNAcentral lists this ribosomal RNA (1381 nucleotides) under synthetic construct. RNAcentral's name for it is "bacterial SSU rRNA". It matches the Rfam family "Bacterial small subunit ribosomal RNA". RNAcentral also lists the same sequence under 1 other name. The record is from RNAcentral.